This 219-nucleotide long non-coding RNA is filed under the name Lepisosteus oculatus (spotted gar). RNAcentral describes it as "lncRNA (ENSLOCG00000021215.1)". The record is from RNAcentral. Lineage: Eukaryota; Metazoa; Chordata; Actinopteri; Semionotiformes; Lepisosteidae.
CAACCUGCAGGCCUUCAUGGAACCUGCAGGAACCUAAUCAGGAAACUUCAGCUGAAGGCAGAUCUUGCUGUGGACAGUGUGUCCCCCCUCCUGGCAUGUCCACUGAGAAGGAAGAGAUCAGAAGCAACAGGAGGUGGCUCCUGGUCAUGCAUGUUAGUAUUUCAUGGGCUGAAGGGCAAUCUCCAAAGAUGAUUGUGUGCAGAGAGAUUUGCAAACUGC